AGCCUACUGUAACUGUGCUUGCUCUACUAAAACAAGGCUAACCAAGACAGUUAUCCAAACCUUAUGCCCCAAUAGCACGCAAGGAAGCAACAGGGAUACUUUGGCUGUACAAGGACGAGGCCAAAUUAAGAGCUAUUUCCAGAUGUACGCUUUUAAAUAUCAAAUUUUCAAUAGCACGGAUUUGUUUAAACAACAAAAACAAUUUCCUCAAUUGUACCUCAGCGCAAAGGUUGUUUCGUCAGAACAGAGCGAUCAGAACAGAACAUUUUCACAGCAGUGGGAGGGCUUGGCACCGCUUGCUGGCUUUGCCAUUUAGAAGUAGACCAGAAAUCACUCUAAAAACAGCCACCGACACGACCUAUCACUGAGAGAGACAAUCAGCCGUCCAUGUCAACACACCGAUGAAUAGAACAGAAGAGUGUGAGAGACAGAGCGGGAGAGAGAUAAGAGAGAUGGUGACAGAGACAUUCUGAAGACAACAGGAUCUACAGGAGGGCAGAGGGCUGCAGGCAGAUUCACAGUUGUCUCCGUGACACUGACACUGCCAGUAAUAAUGGGCUUUGUGUAGAAGCCCAGGCAGGAAAUGAAGUUUACUGUGAUUGCUUGGGAACGUCACACAGAGGUGAGGACAGGGUCUUUUCAGCUGGAGAGACAACAUUUCUCCUCCUUUUGUGCCAGUGGUUGUCGUGGUCCCCAAACGUCUCUGUGUUGCCCUGGGCCAGGAGUUGUUCCUAGUCAGGUUACGUAGUCAGGAUUGGAGAAACUCCAGACUCUACUUAUGACUUACUCACUUGCAGGCUUUUCAAUUGGUCUUGUUUAACUACAAAUCAAUAAUGUUAUCUCCUUCAUUAGAAUUAUCUUUAGCCGUGACCAAAGACAGGUGUAGAGUAACCCAUUUAGGAAACACAGCUGUGGCAUUGUGUUGAGUGAGGAGACUCAACCCUUCUUCUGUAUAUUAUACACACAAGGUAUCUGACUCAAGGUUUCAAUUACAGGGGUGUUUAGAGCUGCCGAGCUCUCCUGUAGGAAAUCAAGGCACCGUAAUAAGGGCACCACCCUAAGAGUCAAUAUGUAGCUCAAAAUCAAAAUCCUGGUUCCAUUAACGCUAAUCCAGAUAACUGAUGUAGGUACAGCUAACUUAAUUAGGAGGUUACAAAAAUCUGACCUAUGAUCAGUGUCUGUGGGCAACAUCUUCAUGCAUCCCUACUAAUUGGCCUGGGUGGCAUUUCUGUUUCUCUACACUUUGACCUUAGAGAGACACCAUGAUGAGGUCCUCCGCCACUGAUCCCAAAUCAGGUUUGCUUUUUGUUUUUAUAUAGUAAUGGUUUAGGUUUAAUGCUGGGGUAUGGUCAUCUGAUCCUAGAUCUGAGCAUAGGGGCAAAUUCCACUAGGAUUGUGUUUGGGUGACAUUUCACUCCGGUCCAUAAUGCCCCGCAAUGAGGAAUGUGUGUGGGUAACACACAAAGGAUGCCAUUCAAUAGCCUAAAGUGACCACCUCUGCUGGUCUCCUCCACUCCUCUUUACUGAAUGCACUGGCUAGGUCAGGGUUUCCCAAACUAGGGGUUGCGACCGCUUUGAAAAUGGGGUCGCGAGAGAAAAUGUGCGCUUACUUCAUAGAACCAGGGUUACAUCAUUAACCUAGAUGCGGUUUUAAUAAAAAAGAGUGGUUUAUGUAGGGCCCUAUGAUUUCCGAGAUGCUGAAAACGCAGACGGAAUUUGGUAAUAAAAAUGGAAUCAACUGUAAAACAUGGAAGAUUGCAGAAUUUUCCAUAAUUUGGCUGAAAUUGAAAAUGAUUUCAUAAUUGUAAAAUUAGACGAGUAGGCCUAGAUAAAUAAUUCAGUUUUCGAUUGGGGUGUUUUGAGGGGGGAGGUUGUGCGUGGGACCCUUAUGUCACCUCACAACUUGGCUGUCACUUUGAGAAACAUGUCGAAGAGGCCGUCUAGGACGGCCAAGUCAUCAAAAAUACGAAAAACUUCGACCCUAACCCCUAAAUUCAGAGCAGAGCAAUACCCAAAGGACUAUGAGUCAGGCGAUAAGCUGUUCUGCAAAUUAUGUCAACAUACUAUUGAUUGGACCCGUAAAAAUACAUGUGAUGACCACUUAAAGUCUAAAGCCCAUGUGAAAAACAAGGAAAAGCACCGUGUUAGCCAGAGCAUACCUCUUCAAACAACCAUUUCUAGUGCAAGCUCAUCAGCAGAUUCAAGACGAGAAUUUAUUCAGGACUUUGCGGCUGUGUGCGCGCCGAGUCAGACAUCCCCUUAGAAAAGCUAAGAAAGCUAUGGCCGUUUUAAGUGUGAAGCACUGCAAACAGGAAGGAGCGUUCCUCGAAAAUGAGAGCAGCCUCUGUCAAACUCACCCGCCCCGUGUGUGCGGCCAACAUAUGACUGCCGUUCUACUGAAGAUCCGUGGGAAGAAGUUUGUGGUGGUUGUUGACGAGACAACAGAUCCAGGGGAUUGCAGCAUUCUAAACAUCGUCAUUGGUGUUGAAAACCAGUACUUUCUGGUAGAUGUCAUUUUCAUGGACAGAUGCAACUACUCAACGUUUUCCCAAGCUAUACUAGCCUCCCUCCACAGCAACCAUCUGAACCUGAAUGAUGCCUGGGCAGUGGUCACAGACCAUGCCUCCUACUGCCUGAAGGCAUACAAGGAGGUUCUGAAAGGAGAGAUGCCCAACAGUGUUCAUGUACCCUGUCUCUAUCAGGUCAUCAAUCUGGAGGGUGAAACCUGGCAGCACUACAAAUACUUCUCUGAAGUUGCAUCACUUGGGACAUGGAUGAGAUCUGUCUUCUUCAAGAAGCCUGUCAGAAAUAGAAGAUGGGUGAGCUUCCUCAUUAUGAAGGAGUUUGUGCAGGCCAAGGCUCCUCCUGAAGCAGUGAGCUCCAGAUGGAAUAGUUCAUUUGAGGCAGUGAAGUACCAUGCAGAGCAUGUUCAUCUGUACAGAGAGUUUUUGUUGGCAGAAAAGUCAUCAUCCCAGGCAGUCACAAACCUCCUCAGCCAGCUGGAAACAGAGGAGAAGGUUGCUGCAUUGUUGCCUACAUUCUUGCAUUAUUAUGUUUUAAUUUAUAAUGAAACACUUUGUAGAACUCUGUAUUGAAGCACUUGCCAUGAUAACAAAUUGUGAAAUGUUGUGUUGCAUCAUUACAAAUGUACUGUUUCCCUGUACUAUGCCCAAAAGCCGUUAGAACCGAGUGGACAAGACCAGUGGGACUGUGAUGAUGUUCUUUUCUACACAGAAGAUCAUCCAACAUUAUUGCCAUACCUUUGAUGCACUUCAGUCACUUCAUACUGUCAUAGUCCAAACUAAAAAAGUAAACAAUUGCAGUUGAUUACAUAACUUAUUUUAAUUUAAUUACAUUUUUUACAUCGUGGUGUCGCAAUUAUUAUUUUUAUAUCAAAAUGGGGUCAGGAGCCAAAGAACCUCACAAGGUUAAAGCCAUGUGGAUAGACAGCCAUCCAGGAAUUCACCUGUUCGGUACAGGUGGAGGAUAGGAGACGAGGAAGCCACUUUAGACUAUUGAGAUACACCCACUGAAUUUUUUAUUUUAUUUAACCUUUAUUUAACUAGGCAAGUCAGUUAAGAACAA
This is a non-coding RNA of Oncorhynchus mykiss (rainbow trout), 3585 nucleotides long. Lineage: Eukaryota; Metazoa; Chordata; Actinopteri; Salmoniformes; Salmonidae. The record is from RefSeq and is a predicted model, not a curated record.